AAAUUGAAGAGUUUGAUCAUGGCUCAGAUUGAACGCUGGCGGCAGGCCUAACACAUGCAAGUCGAGCGGAAACGAGUUAACUGAACCUUCGGGGGACGUUAACGGCGUCGAGCGGCGGACGGGUGAGUAAUGCCUAGGAAAUUGCCCUGAUGUGGGGGAUAACCAUUGGAAACGAUGGCUAAUACCGCAUGAUGCCUACGGGCCAAAGAGGGGGACCUUCGGGCCUCUCGCGUCAGGAUAUGCCUAGGUGGGAUUAGCUAGUUGGUGAGGUAAGGGCUCACCAAGGCGACGAUCCCUAGCUGGUCUGAGAGGAUGAUCAGCCACACUGGAACUGAGACACGGUCCAGACUCCUACGGGAGGCAGCAGUGGGGAAUAUUGCACAAUGGGCGCAAGCCUGAUGCAGCCAUGCCGCGUGUGUGAAGAAGGCCUUCGGGUUGUAAAGCACUUUCAGUCGUGAGGAAGGUAGUGUAGUUAAUAGCUGCAUUAUUUGACGUUAGCGACAGAAGAAGCACCGGCUAACUCCGUGCCAGCAGCCGCGGUAAUACGGAGGGUGCGAGCGUUAAUCGGAAUUACUGGGCGUAAAGCGCAUGCAGGUGGUUUGUUAAGUCAGAUGUGAAAGCCCGGGGCUCAACCUCGGAAUAGCAUUUGAAACUGGCAGACUAGAGUACUGUAGAGGGGGGUAGAAUUUCAGGUGUAGCGGUGAAAUGCGUAGAGAUCUGAAGGAAUACCGGUGGCGAAGGCGGCCCCCUGGACAGAUACUGACACUCAGAUGCGAAAGCGUGGGGAGCAAACAGGAUUAGAUACCCUGGUAGUCCACGCCGUAAACGAUGUCUACUUGGAGGUUGUGGCCUUGAGCCGUGGCUUUCGGAGCUAACGCGUUAAGUAGACCGCCUGGGGAGUACGGUCGCAAGAUUAAAACUCAAAUGAAUUGACGGGGGCCCGCACAAGCGGUGGAGCAUGUGGUUUAAUUCGAUGCAACGCGAAGAACCUUACCUACUCUUGACAUCCAGAGAACUUUUCAGAGAUGAAUUGGUGCCUUCGGGAACUCUGAGACAGGUGCUGCAUGGCUGUCGUCAGCUCGUGUUGUGAAAUGUUGGGUUAAGUCCCGCAACGAGCGCAACCCUUAUCCUUGUUUGCCAGCGAGUAAUGUCGGGAACUCCAGGGAGACUGCCGGUGAUAAACCGGAGGAAGGUGGGGACGACGUCAAGUCAUCAUGGCCCUUACGAGUAGGGCUACACACGUGCUACAAUGGCGCAUACAGAGGGCUGCCAACUUGCGAAAGUGAGCGAAUCCCAAAAAGUGCGUCGUAGUCCGGAUUGGAGUCUGCAACUCGACUCCAUGAAGUCGGAAUCGCUAGUAAUCGUGGAUCAGAAUGCCACGGUGAAUACGUUCCCGGGCCUUGUACACACCGCCCGUCACACCAUGGGAGUGGGCUGCAAAAGAAGUAGGUAGUUUAACCUUCGGGGGGACGCUUACCACUUUGUGGUUCAUGACUGGGGUGAAGUCGUAACAAGGUAGCGCUAGGGGAACCUGGCGCUGGAUCACCUCCUUAUACGAUGAU
RNAcentral lists this ribosomal RNA (1562 nucleotides) under Vibrio natriegens. RNAcentral's name for it is "bacterial SSU rRNA". It matches the Rfam family "Bacterial small subunit ribosomal RNA". The record is from RNAcentral. Lineage: Bacteria; Pseudomonadati; Pseudomonadota; Gammaproteobacteria; Vibrionales; Vibrionaceae.